This 460-nucleotide ribosomal RNA is filed under the name uncultured bacterium. RNAcentral describes it as "partial 16S ribosomal RNA". It matches the Rfam family "Bacterial small subunit ribosomal RNA", at positions 338 to 795 of the family's 1533-position model. The record is from RNAcentral.
CCUACGGGUGGCUGCAGUGAGGAAUAUUGGUCAAUGGGCGGGAGCCUGAACCAGCCAAGUCGCGUGAGGGAAGAAGGUACUGAGUAUUGUAAACCUCUUUUGCCAGGGGACAAAGGCGGCCACGGGUGGCCGUAAGAGGGUACCUGGCCAAGAAGCACCGGCUAACUACGUGCCAGCAGCCGCGGUAAUACGUAGGGGGCAAGCGUUAUCCGGAUUUACUGGGUGUAAAGGGGGCGCAGACGGCAAUGCAAGCCAGGUGUGAAAGCCCGGGGCGCAACCCCGGUACUGCUCUUGGAACUGCAUGGCUGGAGUACAGGAGAGGCAGGCGGAAUUCGUAGUGUAGCGGUGAAAUGCGUAGAUAGUAGGAGGAACUCCGGUGGCGAAGGCGGCCUGCUGGACUGUGACUGACGUUGAGGCCCGAAGGCGUGGGGAGCAAACAGGAUUAGAUACCCUAGUAGUC